CCUACGGGGGGCAGCAGUGGGGGAUAUUGCACAAUGGCGGAAACCCUGAUGCAGCGACGCCGCGUGAGUGAAGAAGUAUUUCGGUAUGUAAAGCUCUAUCAGCAGGGAAGAAAAUGACAGUACCUGACCAAGAAGCCCCGGCUAACUACGUGCCAGCAGCCGCGGUAAUACGUAGGGGGCAAGCGUUAUCCGGAUUUACGGGGUGUAAAGGGAGCGUAGGGGGUUAUGGAGGGCUGGAGUGAAAGCCCGGGGCCCACCCGCGGGACUGCUUUGGAAACUGUGUAACUGGAGUACAGGAGGGGCAGGCGGAAUUUGUGGUGUAGCGGUGAAAUGCGUAGAUAUCAGGCGGAACACCGGCGGCGAAGGCGGCCUGCUGGACUGAAACUGACGUUGAGGCUCGAAAGCGUGGGGAGCAAACAGGAUUAGAUACCCGAGUAGUC
RNAcentral lists this ribosomal RNA (440 nucleotides) under uncultured bacterium. RNAcentral describes it as "partial 16S ribosomal RNA". It matches the Rfam family "Bacterial small subunit ribosomal RNA", at positions 338 to 795 of the family's 1533-position model. The record is from RNAcentral.